CGAACGCUGGCGGCACGCUUAACACAUGCAAGUCGAACGAGGUCCAUCCACUCGCAAGAGUGGUGAAGACCUAGUGGCGAACGGGUGAGUAACACGUGAGAAACCUGCCCCGAAGACCGGGAUAACUCACCGAAAGGUGAGCUAAUACCGGAUACCCUCAUGACGCUUCAUGGCAAUGUGAGAAAAUGGAUUCCGCUUCGGGAGGGUCUCGCGGCCUAUCAGCUUGUUGGUGAGGUAACGGCUCACCAAGGCGACGACGGGUAGCUGUUCUGAGAGGAAGAUCAGCCACACUGGGACUGAGACACGGCCCAGACUCCUACGGGAGGCAGCAGUGGGGAAUCUUGCGCAAUGGGCGAAAGCCUGACGCAGCGAUGCCGCGUGCGGGAAGACGGCCUUCGGGUUGUAAACCGCUUUCAGCAGGGACGAAAUUGACGGUACCUGCAGAAGAAGCUCCGGCCAACUACGUGCCAGCAGCCGCGGUAAGACGUAGGGGGCGAGCGUUGUCCGGAAUUAUUGGGCGUAAAGGGCUCCUAGGCGGUUCAGUAAGUCGACUGUGAAAAUCCAAGGCUCAACCUUGGGACGCCAGUCGAUACUGCUGUGACUCGAGUUCGGUAGAGGAGUGUGGAAUUCCUGGUGUAGCGGUGAAAUGCGCAGAUAUCAGGAGGAACACCAACGGCGAAGGCAGCACUCUGGGCCGAUACUGACGCUGAAGAGCGAAAGCGUGGGGAGCAAACAGG
Molecule: ribosomal RNA, 737 nt
Filed under: uncultured Actinomycetes bacterium
Lineage: Bacteria; Bacillati; Actinomycetota; Actinomycetes
Description: bacterial SSU rRNA
Rfam family: Bacterial small subunit ribosomal RNA
Source: RNAcentral